UCUCCGUUGGUGAACCAGCGGAGGGAUCAUUACCGAGUUUACAACUCCCAAACCCCUGUGAACAUACCAUUUGUUGCCUCGGCGGUGCCUGCUUCGGCAGCCCGCCAGAGGACCCAAACCCUUGAUUUUAUACAGUAUCUUCUGAGUAAAUGAUUGAAUAAAUCAAAACUUUCAACAACGGAUCUCUUGGUUCUG
RNAcentral lists this unclassified non-coding RNA (195 nucleotides) under plant metagenome. RNAcentral's name for it is "partial contains small subunit ribosomal RNA, internal transcribed spacer 1, and 5.8S ribosomal RNA". The record is from RNAcentral.